GUGGGCAUUGGGGGCUUGUCAGGCAUGUUCUGGAGGCCUCCUCAGGCUCUGUGACACGAUAGUGUCAGGGUUUCCUAGGAAACCGCAGCCAGCUGCCAGGUCUGUGUGCCUGCUCCCCUCAGGGUUGCAGUGGGUGUAGGCGAGGGAUGCCCAGGUGGGAAGAUGUGUGUGGUGCGAGAGUGGGAGAUGUGCAGGGCAUGUGUGUGCAUGUGUGUUAUAAGUGGGAAUGUCCAAGGAGCCUGCAUUUGCAGGUCUUCAUGAGGGGUAGGUCUGAGAGUCCGGGUCUGUGUGUGUUCUGUGUCGGCAAGCUGGAGGGAUUCUGACUGAAGUCCACCUAUCCAGCUUCAAGCCUUCUUGUCAGCAGCAAUGCCACUCAAUGUUUGCAGAGCCCUGAGCCGUCAGGCCCCAGGAGAAGCAGCCUGUUCUCUAGGCAUGUUGGUUGGAUACAGAGCGGGAAGACAAAACCAGGAGAGGCUCAGCCUUCACCCAUCUGGACAUCAGCCUGUGGAGCCAUCAAAGGACCUAGACACCCACACACAAAGACAGGACAGCAGCUACCUAGCACCAGGGCUGGGAUUGCUCCGAGAGCCAAUGGUACUUCCAGGGAGCUCACACGUAGCCCUUUGUCCAGGCUGCAGACAUGGCUGUGUGUCCAGCAGAGACAAGUUGGGGGCUGGGCCCUGGCUUGAAGGGAGUGACAAGCAGAGAGAGAGAGCAGACAGUGAUGGGGAUCCAUGAAGCAGCCCCUCGUUCCACCUGGCCUUCCUGCCACCUUCCCCUCCCCCAC
Molecule: long non-coding RNA, 787 nt
Filed under: Fukomys damarensis (Damara mole-rat)
Lineage: Eukaryota; Metazoa; Chordata; Mammalia; Rodentia; Bathyergidae
Description: lncRNA (ENSFDAG00000029191.1)
Source: RNAcentral